AAAGCGUGCGCAGGCGGUUAUGUAAGACAGAUGUGAAAUCCCCGGGCUCAACCUGGGAACUGCAUUUGUGACUGCAUGGCUAGAGUACGGUAGAGGGGGAUGGAAUUCCGCGUGUAGCAGUGAAAUGCGUAGAUAUGCGGAGGAACACCGAUGGCGAAGGCAAUCCCCUGGACCUGUACUGACGCUCAUGCACGAAAGCGUGAGGAGCAAACAGGAUUAGAUACCCGAGU
RNAcentral lists this ribosomal RNA (230 nucleotides) under uncultured bacterium. Its description in RNAcentral is "partial 16S ribosomal RNA". It matches the Rfam family "Bacterial small subunit ribosomal RNA", at positions 562 to 791 of the family's 1533-position model. The record is from RNAcentral.